RNAcentral lists this transfer RNA (66 nucleotides) under Nesodiprion biremis. RNAcentral's name for it is "tRNA-Val". The record is from RNAcentral. Lineage: Eukaryota; Metazoa; Arthropoda; Insecta; Hymenoptera; Diprionidae.
CAAAUUAUUAGNAAAAAUUUUUUAUUUACAAUAAAUAAAUUAGUUGUUUAAUUCAACUUAAUUUGA